RNAcentral lists this ribosomal RNA (440 nucleotides) under uncultured bacterium. RNAcentral describes it as "bacterial SSU rRNA". It matches the Rfam family "Bacterial small subunit ribosomal RNA", at positions 338 to 770 of the family's 1533-position model. The record is from RNAcentral.
CCUACGGGUGGCUGCAGUAGGGAAUCUUCCACAAUGGGCGAAAGCCUGAUGGAGCAACGCCGCGUGGGUGAAGAAGGUCUUCGGAUCGUAAAACCCUGUUGUUAGAGAAGAAAGUGCGUGAGAGUAACUGUUCACGUUUCGACGGUAUCUAACCAGAAAGCCACGGCUAACUACGUGCCAGCAGCCGCGGUAAUACGUAGGUGGCAAGCGUUAUCCGGAUUUAUUGGGCGUAAAGGGAACGCAGGCGGUCUUUUAAGUCUGAUGUGAAAGCCUUCGGCUUAACCGGAGUAGUGCAUUGGAAACUGGGAGACUUGAGUGCAGAAGAGGAGAGUGGAACUCCAUGUGUAGCGGUGAAAUGCGUAGAUAUAUGGAAGAACACCAGUGGCGAAAGCGGCUCUCUGGUCUGUAACUGACGCUGAGGUUCGAAAGCGUGGGUAGCA